AUUUUUGCUCUGUUGUAAAAAUGUAAAUUGUUCCAAUUUUUUUCUAUUUGCUGUAACACUGAAAUUUCCCCACCGUGGGACGAAUAAAGGGCAUUCUUAUCUUAUCUUAUCUCAUCUCAAAGCUGUUUAAAUUUCAUCACAUCAGUCUCUAGUUCAGACUAAUGUCGGCUGGUUCUGCUUGUGACUGUCCACCAAACCAUGAACUUCGGAGGUGUGUUUAUGCUUUUCAAGCGCUGCAAUCGUCUCCAGCGUUUACUUUUAAUCUGAAGAACAUCUUCCUCACAGUCUUACUGCGUUUGUGAACACACAGACACAUGAAAGGUGGAGGAGGACGUGAUGUGCUCCUCCACUAAAGAGAGUUAGACAAUAGAAAGGCAACAAAUAAAAUUAAAAUUAAAAAAGGGGAAAGUUUCAUUCUGGAGUGCUGCAAGAUAUAAAUACAAGAAAUAUCUUUCCAGUAACUUGUAUUUGUAUCUAGUUGUUGACUCUCUUGGUUUCUCUGAGUCUGAAGGUCUGAAUUCCUAAACUACUGUCUGGUCCAUGCAGGUCUCCCCGGUGCUUACAGCUUUGGAGGGUCUCUGGUGUUCCAGCAGGAGUCGGUGCUCACCUCAUCAUCUCAGCUGUUCAGCAUUUAAGCUCUGCAGCUUCCAGUGUUCAUUGACAGAUCGUUGUCUACCUUUAGAAUCCUUCAACCACGAGUACCAACAACCAACCAUCUCUGGACCUCUCUGCUUAGCUGACUCACAGCCACAGACUUGGUUCUACCUGCUCACCAUGUCCUCCAGCUCCGGAAGGACAAAAGACCUCCGCUCACCUCCUCAUGUUUCCAGCACUUGGGUCCUUCUGGCCUCGUGAAACCAUAACAACGACUUCAGAAGUGUCGGCAACAGGAAGAGAGGAGCAGUGAAGACAUGGGAUUCAGAGGAGACCCCCCCCCACACACACACUACUGCUGUCACUGUUGUUUGAAUAAACUGUUAAUAAUUCAUUUUCUGCAUUUUUAUUGAACAUUUCAUAAUCCACUGUAACAUAACUCUAGCAGAUGAUUAUGACAUAACAUGAACAAAAACAGGAACCAAAGAUAUCAUCCAAGGAAACUAACGGCUCAGUCACUUUUGUCUCCUCCUUCAGAGGUCGCCUCAGCCAAUCAGCAUCAGCGCUUCACACAGGUGGUUUUUAAAUCUGAGUUAUACUGACAUGAAAAACCAGAUGUUCUAAAGUUUAUUCAUUUGAACUACUAAAAAUGCUUAGUUCAACAUGAAAUUAGCAAAAAAGAAAACAAAGAAAAA
Molecule: long non-coding RNA, 1289 nt
Organism: Oryzias melastigma (Indian medaka)
Lineage: Eukaryota; Metazoa; Chordata; Actinopteri; Beloniformes; Adrianichthyidae
Exons: 3
Source: RefSeq, a predicted model, not a curated record